Mobula hypostoma (lesser devil ray) is the source of this 150-nucleotide long non-coding RNA. RefSeq lists it as uncharacterized. NCBI's taxonomy places the organism in Eukaryota, Metazoa, Chordata, Chondrichthyes, Myliobatiformes, Myliobatidae. The transcript has 3 exons. The record is from RefSeq and is a predicted model, not a curated record.
GAGGAACCCAAGGGCUGAGCCCACUAAUAAAUGAAGAUUACUGAGUUUCUACUGACUCCAAAAUAGAGUUAAAGAACAGAAAAUGCUGAAUGCACUCAGAAGGCCCUGAAGAGGAAAACAGCGUCAAUAUUUGAUGCUACCUGACAUACU